This 550-nucleotide ribosomal RNA is filed under the name uncultured bacterium. RNAcentral's name for it is "bacterial SSU rRNA". It matches the Rfam family "Bacterial small subunit ribosomal RNA", at positions 355 to 896 of the family's 1533-position model. The record is from RNAcentral.
UAGGGAAUCUUCGGCAAUGGGGGCAACCCUGACCGAGCAACGCCGCGUGAGUGAAGAAGGUUUUCGGAUCGUAAAGCUCUGUUGUAAGUCAAGAACGAGUGUGAGAGUGGAAAGUUCACACUGUGACGGUAGCUUACCAGAAAGGGACGGCUAACUACGUGCCAGCAGCCGCGGUAAUACGUAGGUCCCGAGCGUUGUCCGGAUUUAUUGGGCGUAAAGCGAGCGCAGGCGGUUUGAUAAGUCUGAAGUUAAAGGCUGUGACUCAACCAUAGUUCGCUUUGGAAACUGUCAAACUUGAGUGCAGAAGGGGAGAGUGGAAUUCCAUGUGUAGCGGUGAAAUGCGUAGAUAUAUGGAGGAACACCGGUGGCGAAAGCGGCUCUCUGGUCUGUAACUGACGCUGAGGCUCGAAAGCGUGGGGAGCGAACAGGAUUAGAUACCCUGGUAGUCCACGCCGUAAACGAUGAGUGCUAGGCGUUGGAUCCUUUCCGGGAUUCAGUGCCGCAGCUAACGCAUUAAGCACUCCGCCUGGGGAGUACGACCGCAAGGUUG